GACGAACGCUGGCGGCGUGCCUAAUACAUGCAAGUAGAACGCUGAAGGAGGAGCUUGCUUCUCUGGAUGAGUUGCGAACGGGUGAGUAACGCGUAGGUAACCUGCCUGGUAGCGGGGGAUAACUAUUGGAAACGAUAGCUAAUACCGCAUAAGAGUAGAUGUCGCAUGACAUUUGCUUAAAAGGUGCAAUUGCAUCACUACCAGAUGGACCUGCGUUGUAUUAGCUAGUUGGUGAGGUAACGGCUCACCAAGGCAACGAUACAUAGCCGACCUGAGAGGGUGAUCGGCCACACUGGGACUGAGACACGGCCCAGACUCCUACGGGAGGCAGCAGUAGGGAAUCUUCGGCAAUGGACGGAAGUCUGGCCGAGCAACGCCGCGGGAGGGAAGAAGGUUUUCGGAUCGUAAAGCUCUGUUGUAAGAGAAGAACGAGUGUGAGAGUGGAAAGUUCACACUGUGACGGUAUCUUACCAGAAAGGGACGGCUAACUACGUG
Molecule: ribosomal RNA, 495 nt
Filed under: uncultured bacterium
Lineage: Bacteria
Description: partial 16S ribosomal RNA
Rfam family: Bacterial small subunit ribosomal RNA
Source: RNAcentral